UACGAGGGGGGCAAGCGUUGUUCGGAAUUAUUGGGCGUAAAGGGCGCGUAGGCGGUGCGGUAAGUCUGAUGUGAAAUCUCCGGGCUCAACUCGGAGUCUGCACAGGAAACUAUCUGGCUUGAGUGUGGGAGAGGUGAGUGGAAUUCCUGGUGUAGCGGUGAAAUGCGUAGAUAUCAGGAGGAACACCUGUGGCGAAAGCGGCUCACUGGACCACAACUGACGCUGAGGCGCGAAAGCUAGGGGAGCAAACAGG
RNAcentral lists this ribosomal RNA (253 nucleotides) under uncultured bacterium. RNAcentral's name for it is "partial 16S ribosomal RNA". It matches the Rfam family "Bacterial small subunit ribosomal RNA", at positions 524 to 776 of the family's 1533-position model. The record is from RNAcentral.